RNAcentral lists this ribosomal RNA (478 nucleotides) under uncultured bacterium. RNAcentral describes it as "partial 16S ribosomal RNA". It matches the Rfam family "Bacterial small subunit ribosomal RNA", at positions 28 to 523 of the family's 1533-position model. The record is from RNAcentral.
GACGAACGCUGGCGGCGUGCUUAACACAUGCAAGUCGAACGGUAAGGCCCUUCGGGGUACACGAGUGGCGAACGGGUGAGUAACACGUGGGUGAUCUGCCCUGCACUUCGGGAUAAGCCUGGGAAACUGGGUCUAAUACCGGAUAGGACUCCUGGCUUCAUGGUUGGGGGUGGAAAGCUUUUGCGGUGUGGGAUGGGCCCGCGGCCUAUCAGCUUGUUGGUGGGGUAAUGGCCUACCAAGGCGACGACGAGUAGCCGGCCUGAGAGGGUGACCGGUCACACUGGGACUGAGAUACGGCCCAGACUCCUACGGGAGGCAGCUGUGGGGAAUAUUGCACAAUGGGCGCAAGCCUGAUGCAGCGACGCCGCGUGAGGGAUGACGGCCUUCGGGUUGUAAACCUCUUUCAGCUAUGACGAAGCGCAAGUGACGGUAGUAGCAGAAGAAGGACCGGCCAACUACGUGCCAGCCGCCGCGGUAA